This 460-nucleotide ribosomal RNA is filed under the name uncultured bacterium. Its description in RNAcentral is "partial 16S ribosomal RNA". It matches the Rfam family "Bacterial small subunit ribosomal RNA", at positions 338 to 795 of the family's 1533-position model. The record is from RNAcentral.
CCUACGGGCGGCAGCAGUGAGGAAUAUUGGUCAAUGGACGAGAGUCUGAACCAGCCAAGUAGCGUGAAGGAUGACUGCCCUAUGGGUUGUAAACUUCUUUUAUAAAGGAAUAAAACGAGGCACGUGUGCCUUUUUGCAUGUACUUUAUGAAUAAGGAUCGGCUAACUCCGUGCCAGCAGCCGCGGUAAUACGGAGGAUCCGAGCGUUAUCCGGAUUUAUUGGGUUUAAAGGGAGCGUAGAUGGGUUGUUAAGUCAGUUGUGAAAGUUUGCAGCUCAACCGUAAAAUUGCAAUUGAUACUGGGAGUUUUGAGUACAGUGGAGGUAGGCGGAAUUCGUGGUGUAGCGGUGAACUGCUUAGAUAUCACGAAGAACCCAGAUUGAGAGGGCAGAUUACAAAACUGUGACUGACAUUGAUGCUCGAAAGUGUGGGUAUAAAACAGGAUUAGAUACCCUUGUAGUC